GGUUAAGCGACUAAGCGUACACGGUGGAUGCCCUGGCAGUCAGAGGCGAUGAAGGACGUGCUAAUCUGCGAUAAGCGUCGGUAAGGUGAUAUGAACCGUUAUAACCGGCGAUUUCCGAAUGGGGAAACCCAGUGUGAUUCGUCACACUAUCAUUAACUGAAUCCAUAGGUUAAUGAGGCGAACCGGGGGAACUGAAACAUCUAAGUACCCCGAGGAAAAGAAAUCAACCGAGAUUCCCCCAGUAGCGGCGAGCGAACGGGGAGCAGCCCAGAGCCUGAAUCAGUGUGUGUGUUAGUGGAAGCGUCUGGAAAGGCGUGCGAUACAGGGUGACAGCCCCGUACACAAAAAUGCACAUAUUGUGAGCUCGAUGAGUAGGGCGGGACACGUGGUAUCCUGUCUGAAUAUGGGGGGACCAUCCUCCAAGGCUAAAUACUCCUGACUGACCGAUAGUGAACCAGUACCGUGAGGGAAAGGCGAAAAGAACCCCGGCGAGGGGAGUGAAAAAGAACCUGAAACCGUGUACGUACAAGCAGUGGGAGCACGCUUAGGCGUGUGACUGCGUACCUUUUGUAUAAUGGGUCAGCGACUUAUAUUCUGUAGCAAGGUUAACCGAAUAGGGGAGCCGAAGGGAAACCGAGUCUUAACUGGGCGUUAAGUUGCAGGGUAUAGACCCGAAACCCGGUGAUCUAGCCAUGGGCAGGUUGAAGGUUGGGUAACACUAACUGGAGGACCGAACCGACUAAUGUUGAAAAAUUAGCGGAUGACUUGUGGCUGGGGGUGAAAGGCCAAUCAAACCGGGAGAUAGCUGGUUCUCCCCGAAAGCUAUUUAGGUAGCGCCUCGUGAAUUCAUCUCCGGGGGUAGAGCACUGUUUCGGCAAGGGGGUCAUCCCGACUUACCAACCCGAUGCAAACUGCGAAUACCGGAGAAUGUUAUCACGGGAGACACACGGCGGGUGCUAACGUCCGUCGUGAAGAGGGAAACAACCCAGACCGCCAGCUAAGGUCCCAAAGUCAUGGUUAAGUGGGAAACGAUGUGGGAAGGCCCAGACAGCCAGGAUGUUGGCUUAGAAGCAGCCAUCAUUUAAAGAAAGCGUAAUAGCUCACUGGUCGAGUCGGCCUGCGCGGAAGAUGUAACGGGGCUAAACCAUGCACCGAAGCUGCGGCAGCGACGCUUAUGCGUUGUUGGGUAGGGGAGCGUUCUGUAAGCCUGUGAAGGUGUGCUGUGAGGCAUGCUGGAGGUAUCAGAAGUGCGAAUGCUGACAUAAGUAACGAUAAAGCGGGUGAAAAGCCCGCUCGCCGGAAGACCAAGGGUUCCUGUCCAACGUUAAUCGGGGCAGGGUGAGUCGACCCCUAAGGCGAGGCCGAAAGGCGUAGUCGAUGGGAAACAGGUUAAUAUUCCUGUACUUGGUGUUACUGCGAAGGGGGGACGGAGAAGGCUAUGUUGGCCGGGCGACGGUUGUCCCGGUUUAAGCGUGUAGGCUGGUUUUCCAGGCAAAUCCGGAAAAUCAAGGCUGAGGCGUGAUGACGAGGCACUACGGUGCUGAAGCAACAAAUGCCCUGCUUCCAGGAAAAGCCUCUAAGCAUCAGGUAACAUCAAAUCGUACCCCAAACCGACACAGGUGGUCAGGUAGAGAAUACCAAGGCGCUUGAGAGAACUCGGGUGAAGGAACUAGGCAAAAUGGUGCCGUAACUUCGGGAGAAGGCACGCUGAUAUGUAGGUGAAGUCCCUUGCGGAUGGAGCUGAAAUCAGUCGAAGAUACCAGCUGGCUGCAACUGUUUAUUAAAAACACAGCACUGUGCAAACACGAAAGUGGACGUAUACGGUGUGACGCCUGCCCGGUGCCGGAAGGUUAAUUGAUGGGGUCAGCGCAAGCGAAGCUCUUGAUCGAAGCCCCGGUAAACGGCGGCCGUAACUAUAACGGUCCUAAGGUAGCGAAAUUCCUUGUCGGGUAAGUUCCGACCUGCACGAAUGGCGUAAUGAUGGCCAGGCUGUCUCCACCCGAGACUCAGUGAAAUUGAACUCGCUGUGAAGAUGCAGUGUACCCGCGGCAAGACGGAAAGACCCCGUGAACCUUUACUAUAGCUUGACACUGAACAUUGAGCCUUGAUGUGUAGGAUAGGUGGGAGGCUUUGAAGUGUGGACGCCAGUCUGCAUGGAGCCGACCUUGAAAUACCACCCUUUAAUGUUUGAUGUUCUAACGUGGACCCGUGAUCCGGGUUGCGGACAGUGUCUGGUGGGUAGUUUGACUGGGGCGGUCUCCUCCUAAAGAGUAACGGAGGAGCACGAAGGUUGGCUAAUCCUGGUCGGACAUCAGGAGGUUAGUGCAAUGGCAUAAGCCAGCUUGACUGCGAGCGUGACGGCGCGAGCAGGUGCGAAAGCAGGUCAUAGUGAUCCGGUGGUUCUGAAUGGAAGGGCCAUCGCUCAACGGAUAAAAGGUACUCCGGGGAUAACAGGCUGAUACCGCCCAAGAGUUCAUAUCGACGGCGGUGUUUGGCACCUCGAUGUCGGCUCAUCACAUCCUGGGGCUGAAGUAGGUCCCAAGGGUAUGGCUGUUCGCCAUUUAAAGUGGUACGCGAGCUGGGUUUAGAACGUCGUGAGACAGUUCGGUCCCUAUCUGCCGUGGGCGCUGGAGAACUGAGGGGGGCUGCUCCUAGUACGAGAGGACCGGAGUGGACGCAUCACUGGUGUUCGGGUUGUCAUGCCAAUGGCACUGCCCGGUAGCUAAAUGCGGAAGAGAUAAGUGCUGAAAGCAUCUAAGCACGAAACUUGCCCCGAGAUGAGUUCUCCCUGACUCCUUGAGAGUCCUGAAGGAACGUUGAAGACGACGACGUUGAUAGGCCGGGUGUGUAAGCGCAGCGAUGCGUUGAGCUAACCGGUACUAAUGAACCGUGAGGCUUAACCUU
This 2904-nucleotide ribosomal RNA is filed under the name Escherichia coli. RNAcentral describes it as "23S ribosomal RNA". It matches the Rfam family "Bacterial large subunit ribosomal RNA". Lineage: Bacteria; Pseudomonadati; Pseudomonadota; Gammaproteobacteria; Enterobacterales; Enterobacteriaceae. RNAcentral also lists the same sequence under 1 other name. The record is from RNAcentral.